AGAGUUUGAUCCUGGCUCAGGACGAACGCUGGCGGCAUGCCUAAUACAUGCAAGUCGAACGAUGAAGCACUCUGCUUGCAGAGUGCGGAAGAGUGGCGAACGGGUGAGUAACACGUGGGGAACCUGCCCAUAAGAGGGGGAUAACAUCCGGAAACGGGUGCUAAUACCGCAUAGGUGAUCAUAGCGCAUGCUUAGAUCAUUAAAGAUGGCUUCGGCUAUCGCUUAUGGAUGGCCCCGCGGCGUAUUAGCUAGUUGGUAAGGUAAUGGCUUACCAAGGCAGUGAUACGUAGCCGACCUGAGAGGGUGAUCGGCCACACUGGGACUGAGACACGGCCCAGACUCCUACGGGAGGCAGCAGUAGGGAAUCUUCCACAAUGGGCGAAAGCCUGAUGGAGCAAUGCCGCGUGAGUGAAGAAGGUCUUCGGAUCGUAAAGCUCUGUUGUUAGAGAAGAACAAGAGGUGUAGUAACUGGCACCUCCUUGACGGUAUCUAACCAGAAAGUCACGGCUAACUACGUGCCAGCAGCCGCGGUAAUACGUAGGUGACAAGCGUUGUCCGGAUUUAUUGGGCGUAAAGCGAGCGCAGGCGGUCUUUUAAGUCUGAUGUGAAAGCCCACGGCUCAACCGUGGAUGGUCAUUGGAAACUGGAAGACUUGAAUGCAGAAGAGGAAAGUGGAAUUCCAUGUGUAGCGGUGAAAUGCGUAGAUAUAUGGAGGAACACCAGUGGCGAAGGCGACUUUCUGGUCUGUAAUUGACGCUGAGGCUCGAAAGCGUGGGGAGCGAACAGGAUUAGAUACCCUGGUAGUCCACGCCGUAAACGAUGAGUGCUAAGUGUUGGAGGGUUUCCGCCCUUCAGUGCUGGAGCUAACGCAUUAAGCACUCCGCCUGGGGAGUACGGCCGCAAGGCUGAAACUUAAAGGAAUUGACGG
RNAcentral lists this ribosomal RNA (928 nucleotides) under uncultured bacterium. RNAcentral's name for it is "bacterial SSU rRNA". It matches the Rfam family "Bacterial small subunit ribosomal RNA", at positions 8 to 916 of the family's 1533-position model. The record is from RNAcentral.